This 407-nucleotide ribosomal RNA is filed under the name uncultured bacterium. RNAcentral describes it as "partial 16S ribosomal RNA". It matches the Rfam family "Bacterial small subunit ribosomal RNA", at positions 30 to 526 of the family's 1533-position model. The record is from RNAcentral.
AUUGAACGCUGGCGGCAGGCCUAACCCAUGCAAGUCGAGCGGAGCGGCGGACGGGUGAGUAAUGCCUAGGAAGCUGCCUGGUAGUGGGGGAUAACGUCCGGAAACGGGCGCUAAUACCGCAUCUUCUCAGAUGAGCCUAGGUCGGAUUAGCUAGGUGGGGGGGUAAAGGCCUACCAAGGCGACGAUCCGUACCUGGUCUGAGAGGAUGAUCAGUCACACUGGAACUGAGACACGGGCCAGACUCCUACGGGAGGCAGCAGUGGGGAAUAUUGGACAAUGGGCGAAAGCCUGAUCCAGCCAUGCCGCGUGUGUGAAGAAGGUCUUAGGAUUGUAAAGCACUUUAAGUUGGGAGGCGUUACCAGCAGAAUAAGCACCGGCUAACUUCGUGCCAGCCGCCGCGGUAAUUC